Molecule: non-coding RNA, 31 nt
Filed under: Mus musculus (house mouse)
Lineage: Eukaryota; Metazoa; Chordata; Mammalia; Rodentia; Muridae
Source: RNAcentral
UAAAUGCCACAAUGCAUAUGGACUUCUAAAA